RNAcentral lists this non-coding RNA (153 nucleotides) under Barnesiella viscericola. Lineage: Bacteria; Pseudomonadati; Bacteroidota; Bacteroidia; Bacteroidales; Barnesiellaceae. The record is from RNAcentral.
GGUCUGGAAGAUUAAAAGGGAAUCGGGUGAAAAUCCCGGACAGUCCCGCUGCUGUGAAGCUCCGCCAACCACUCGAAUUCUGUUGACCACUGAUUGAUGAAUUGGGAAGGUCUCGGGUGGGGAGUCAGUCAGAAGACCUGCCAUCAGUUUUUG